UGUGAAUCGUUCAGUUAAGGGCUUUGAAGAUUUUGGCCUGCCUAGUAGUCCGCCAUUUUACUUCUUUUCCA
Maniola jurtina (meadow brown) is the source of this 71-nucleotide long non-coding RNA. RefSeq lists it as uncharacterized. The transcript has 3 exons. NCBI's taxonomy places the organism in Eukaryota, Metazoa, Arthropoda, Insecta, Lepidoptera, Nymphalidae. The record is from RefSeq and is a predicted model, not a curated record.